Molecule: ribosomal RNA, 301 nt
Filed under: uncultured bacterium
Lineage: Bacteria
Description: partial 16S ribosomal RNA
Rfam family: Bacterial small subunit ribosomal RNA
Source: RNAcentral
CAGCCGCCACGGUAAUACGGAGGGGGCUAGCGUUGUUCGGAAUUACUGGGCGUAAAGCGCACGUAGGCGGCUUGGUAAGUUAGAGGUGAAAGCCUGGAGCUCAACUCCAGAAUUGCCUUUAAGACUGCCGAGCUAGCAGGUGAGAGAGGUAAGUGGAAUUCCGAGUGUAGAGGUGAAAUUCGUAGAUAUUCGGAAGAACACCAGUGGCGAAGGCGGCUUACUGGCUCAUACUGGACGCUGAGGUGCGAAAGCGUGGGGAGCAAACAGGAUUAGAUACCCCAGUAGUCCCUGUCUCUUAUAC